UCAAAGAUUAAGCCAUGCAAGUGAAAGUAUAUGCAUAUUUUAUAUGUAGAAACUGCGAACGGCUCAUUAAAACAGUUAUAAUCUACUUGACAUUUUUUCUAUAAGGAUAACUACGGAAAAGCUGUAGCUAAUACUUGCUUUAGCACUCUUGAUUAAGUUCUUGAGUGUGUACUUGUUAAGCCUUUUAAGAAAAAAGUUAUUAACUUAAGGAAUUAUAACAAAGAAGCAACACGUAAAUGGAUUUUCCAUUUUUUAGUGUGUAUCAAUCGAGUUUCUGACCUAUCAGCUUUUGAUGUUAGGGUAUUGGCCUAACAUGGCUAUGACGGGUAACGGGGAAUUAGAGUUCGAUUCCGGAGAGGGAGCCUGAGAAAUAGCUACCACAUCUAAGGAAGGCAGCAGGCGCGUAACUUACCCAAUUCUAAAGAAGAGAGGUAGUGACAAGAAGUAACAAUACAAGGCCAAUCUGGCUUUGUAAUUGGAAUGAUGGGAAUUUAAAACCUUCCCAAAACUCAAUUGGAGGGCAAGUCUGGUGCCAGCAGCCGCGGUAAUUCCAGCUCCAAUAGCGUAUAUUAAGAUUGUUGCAGUUAAAACGCUCGUAGUUGAAUUUCAAAGAAUCGAUAUUUUAAGUAGCACUUUGUAGAUUAAUCCACAUAACUGAUACUACGUAUUGACUUUGUGAGCAUUUUUCUACUUAUGUGUUCUUUUAAUUAAAAUGAUUCUUUUUAAGAUCUUUCUUUUUUGCUUCGGCAUUUUAGGAGAUCUUGUUACUUUGAGUAAAUUAGAGUGUUCAAAGCAAACAGAUUAUAGCAUCUUUAUGCGUUUGAAUACUAUAGCAUGGAAUAACAAAAUUGAACAAGUCAGAAUUUUGUUCUUUUUUCUUAUUUUGGCUUAGUUACGAUUAAUAGGAGUAGCUUGGGGGCAUUUGUAUUCAGAUGUCAGAGGUGAAAUUCUUAGAUUUUCUGGAGACAAACAACUGCGAAAGCAUUUGCCUAAAAUACUUCCAUUAAUCAAGAACGAAAGUUAAGGGAGUGAAGACGAUCAGAUACCGUCGUAAUCUUAACCAUAAACUAUGCCGACUAGGCUUUGGAUGAAAGAUUUUAAAAUAAGAGUUUUUUCUCUGAGGAGUUAAAACUCUUAGAUUGCUUCCUUCAGUGCCUUAUGAGAAAUCAAAGUCUUUGGGUUCUGGGGCGAGUAUUCGCGCAAGCGAGAAAGUUAAAAGAAUUGACGGAAGGGCACCACCAGGCGUGGAGCUUGCGGCUUAAUUUGACUCAACACGGGAAAACUCACUAGUUUAAGACAAGAGUAGGAUUGACAGAUUAAUAGCUCUUUCUUGAUUUCUUGGAUGGUGAUGCAUGGCCGUUUUUAGUUCGUGAAUAUGAUUUGUCUGGUUAAUUCCGAUAACGAACGAGAUCUUAACCUGCUAAUUAGCGGCAAAUACGAUAUAUUCUUAUGUGGAAUUGAAUAUAGUUGAUUUGUUUAUUUUGAAGAAAAUAUUGGGAUACGUAAAUGUAUCCCUUUCCCUUUUCUACUUAAUUUGCUUAUCAUACUAUUUCUUUUUUGCGUAAGAAUGUAUUUGCUUGAUUGUAAAGCUUCUUAGAGGAACGAUGUGUGUCUAACACAAGGGAGUUUAAGGCAACAACAGG
This 1643-nucleotide ribosomal RNA is filed under the name Plasmodium inui. RNAcentral's name for it is "SSU rRNA". It matches the Rfam family "Eukaryotic small subunit ribosomal RNA", at positions 37 to 1460 of the family's 1831-position model. Lineage: Eukaryota; Apicomplexa; Aconoidasida; Haemosporida; Plasmodiidae. The record is from RNAcentral.